AUUGAACGCUGGCGGCAGGCCUAACACAUGCAAGUCGAACGGUAACAGGAAGAAGUUUGCUUCUUUGCUGACGCGUGGCGGACGGGUGAGUCAUGUCUGGGACACUGCUUGAUGGCGGGGGAUAACUACUGGAAACGGUAGCUAAUACCGCAUAACGUCGCAAGCCCAAAAAGGGGGACCUUCGGGCGUUUUUCCAUUGGAUUUGCCCAGAUGGGAUUAGCCAGUAGGUGGGGUAACGGCUAACCUAGGCGACGAUCCCUAGCUGGUCUGAGAGGGUGACCGGCCACACUGGAACUGAGACACGGUCCAGACUCCUACGGGAGGCAGCAGUAGGGAAUAUUGCACAAUGGGCGAAAGCCUGAUGCAGCAAUGCCGCGUGUAUGAAGAAGGCCUUCGGGUCGUAAAGUACUGUCAGCGGGGAGGAAGGGAGUAAAGUUAAUACCUGUACUCAUUGACGGUACCCGCAGAAGAAGCACCGGCUAACUCCGUG
Molecule: ribosomal RNA, 490 nt
Filed under: uncultured bacterium
Lineage: Bacteria
Description: partial 16S ribosomal RNA
Rfam family: Bacterial small subunit ribosomal RNA
Source: RNAcentral